CGUAGCUUCGGGAGGAAUACCGGUAGUGUAGCACGCUAUAUGGACAUUAACUAAGGCUGAGACACCAAGCUAGGGUAGCAAACAGGCUAAGCUACCUUGGUUGUCCACGCCUCAGUCGAUGCAUAUUUAGCGGGGGUCACUCAGGUGAUUCGUCCUGAAGUUAACGCAUUAAAUAUGUAGCCCGGGGAGUACAGUCUCAUGGCCGAAACUCAAGUGAAUCAAUGGUGGGCGCAACAAGCGGUGGAGGCUGUGAUUUAUUUCGCCGCAACGAGAGGAACGUCUCCACGGCUUGAACGGCCAGUAAAUGCCGGUGGAGACAUCGGUACCCGUCAAGGGGGUCCAGUUGAGAUGUAGCAAGGCGGUGGUCAUUUUGUGUCGUGAGAUGUUGGGUUAAGUCCCGCAACGAGCGCAACCCUUAAGGGGUGUUUCCAUCAUUCAGUUGGGAACUCUCAGGAUUGCCCCAGGGAUACCAGGUUGGAAGGUGGGGAUGACGUCAAGUCUUCAUGGCCUUUAUGUCCAGCAGUGCACACGUGUUACAAUGGACGGUGCAAAGCGCAGCAAACCCGGGAGGGGGAGCCAAUCGCAAAAAACCGUUCUCAGUUCGGAUUGCAGGUUGCAACUAGCCUGCAUGAAGCUGGAAUCGCUAGUAAUGGCAGAUCAGCAGUUUCCCAGGAAUACGUUCCCGGGCCUUGUACACACCGCCCGUCACAUCACGAAAGUGGAUUGUACUAGAAGUCUGCACGCUGACCCUCAAGGGAGGCAGCGGCCCAGGGUAUGAUUCAUGAUUGGGGUGAAGUCCUAACAAGGUAACC
This 812-nucleotide ribosomal RNA is filed under the name uncultured soil bacterium. RNAcentral describes it as "bacterial SSU rRNA". It matches the Rfam family "Bacterial small subunit ribosomal RNA", at positions 689 to 1501 of the family's 1533-position model. The record is from RNAcentral.